UUGCUUCGAAUUGGACCAGUCAUGAACUCGGAUAAAUUUCGGUAGGGUAAAAUGAAAUUUAGACUAUCAUCAAUCGAUUUCUCUCAUCAAGAGCAAUCGAUUAAUGAAGGUCUUGGGUUAAAAUGACCCGAAAUUAAACAAAAAUUGUAGGCGGAAUAAAUUAUGGUUUUGAUCUUAGAUCCGAGAUUUGAGAAUUCCUAGGCUUGUUUGAAGGGAAUGGUUAUGGGAUAUGGAAAGAGGAAGAGAGGGUGAUUGUCUGGUGUUAAUUUGGUGUAUUUUAGAGCAAUUAGGGUUUUUUACCUUGAAUCGAAUUCCUGGCGGCGAUUUGAAAGAAACGGAUUUGAGAUUUAGCAUUAGGAGGAAUGGGGGUUUCAGGGUGUAAAUAUAGGGGAGAUUGGUGGUGGUCUGAUGCCGUGAGGUGAUUUAAUUUUCGGCCGGCGGACUACAGCGGAGAAGGACGGAGCCGGAAAGGUAUCUUAGGGCGGAUAGGGUUCGUAGAUUGAGAGAGAUGAUAGACUAAAUGAGGGGGUAAUGGGUUCGGGGGUAUGAAUUUGGGGGAGGUUGGUGGUGGUCCGCCGCCUUGAGGCGAUUUCCGGUCGGCGGACCGUGGCAGAGGAAGGCAGAGUUGGCGAGGUAUUUUAGGGCGGCUACGAUUCGAAAGUUGAGAGAGAUGAAAAAUUGAAUAGGGGGUAAGGGGGUUAGGGGUCUUGUUCGGACAGUUAAAUAUUAAUGGGGUAGUUAGUUCCGGGCCAUUUAAUUAGCAAGAUCCAAUGGCUAUGAUGAAAAUCAAAUGAAACGGGGUCGUUUGGGUUAGUAUAGAGACUGAACCGGGUAGGCAAAAAUUGGGCUUGGGUCAAGGGAAGCUUUUGGACGGGUUUUGUAUUAAAUUGGCACAAUUUCAAAAUAAAAACCUCCUUGUUCAGUUACGUCUUUUAUUCAUUUUUCUUUUCUUUUUUCCCCCCUCUCUCUCUCUUCUUUUUAUAUUUAAAAUUUCUAAGUUAAUCUAAAUUGUAAAACUAACCAAUUAUAUAAUUAUAAAAAAUAUUUAAUCCUAAGUUAAAAGAGAAAAAUUAAUAAUCUAAAAGGUAAAAUGUAAAAUGGGCUAUUUUUGUGAUUUUCAUUUUAUUUAAACAAAUAAUUAACCAAUUAUGCCUAAAAAUAUAAAAACAAAACCUAAAUGCAAUCCAUGAUAUUUUUUUUUUAUAUUUUUCAUGAUUUUAGUAAGAAUUAAACGUGCACAAUGCAACCAAUUAAUAAAAUUCUACAAAAAUUUCUAAAAAUGACAAAUAAUUAAGGAAAAUCUAUUUUCUUGAGUUUUUAUAGGAGUAUUCGCAAAGGGCAAAAAUCACAUCAUCACAGACAUGUAUACUACUACUCCCUUCAGAAAAGGGCCUUCCACACGAGGACACUGGCUGAUCCCACCGACAUAUUUUAACCCAUGGUUGAAGAAUGAGGCGAUCAAGAAAAUCAUGGGCCUCGUAGUACAUGCAUAAAAUAGCUCUGUGGAGCUUUUCGGAUCUAAAACUUGUUCUAUGUCAGAACCGAUCUCAAAACCCUAAUAUCAGCCUCUGAUCAGAUGCGAGGAAUUAAGUGGUGAAAAUCCAAGCCCUAUAUGCACUAUGUCUAAUUAUUUUAAGCUUAGAAGUUGAUAUGAAGUAAUUAAAAACGAUUAUUUUGAGAUCGACAUUCCUUUCCUAGACUUGUUAUAAAACAGAGAUUAGGUAAUAAAAAUUACGUAAAAGAAGUAGACUUUUUACAUUUUUUUAUCAUGUCGAGCGCGGUGAAAUUACUCCAGUUUGAUAAACUAAAAGGACAGGCUGGUGCACAAAGCAUCUCGGAUUCACGCAGAGACCGGGGAAGAACCGCACCCUGAAAGGUGUGAUGUAGACAGUUUACUCUAAUGUAAGCAUUAGUGAUCGAUUUCUCGGUUCGAACCUAUAACCUAUAAUUCACAUGAAGACAGCUUGACCGUUACUCCAAAGCUCCCCUACAAGUAAAUUUCGUUGCCGGAACCAAACGUGAGAGCCGAGUACCCUAACCGACUAGACUACAACGGAUUGUUCCAUUUUGAGAAAUUGUACUCGUAAAAUGUUCGUCUAUUAGUUGUUCCAAACAUGGGUGUGUGGUUUUAUUUUAAGGUCUUCUUUUUAUUCUUUAUUAAAUUAGAUAUAGCAUAUUCUUGUGACAACCACAACCUUUCGGCGAUAAGGAAUUAAGGAGAUUAAAAAGAAAAUAAAAGAAAAAAAUUAGAAAAAGAAAAAGGGAGGGCUAACUCAUUGGGGACAUCCAGUAAAGUAAUCAUUUAUUGAGCAACGGCUACCCACUUUAUUUGAUGAAUGGAACAAAAAUCUGAAUACUAUAAAACAAAAAAAAAUGUAUGCAAAAAGAGAAAGUGAAAGUGGAAUCAAAAUAAUGAUAGAAGAUGAGUUGUACAUCCCUACAUUCAUUUCUGCUGUCCAAAUUAAUAAGAUUGACGAGUAAACAACUUUUUUUAAAAUGUAAACUAAUUUUAAAAUAAAUCAUACAUUACUGUACGUAGCUUUAGUGACAACAAAGCUCGUGACAAAAAUCAUUCGCUGAAAAUUAAGUUCCCUUUUUUCACCAACUCGCUUUGCCGAGAGUUUUUUGUUUAGCUAUUUGGUGUUUGAAAUUUACUAUCCUACUAUUUCAUAUUUGUAUUGCAUAUGAUUCGUUAAAAAGAUUACUGCCAAGAAUUUCUUUUUCAAAACUUAAAUCCAAGAACUCUAAUAAAAAGUGGAAAAUAAAAUCAUAUCGCACCUCUUAAUGAUGCUUUUGUACUAUAUAUGAUUCAUUAAAGAAAAUUAUUUCAAGAAUUUCUUUCUUAAAAUUAUGUUAAGCUGAAAGUCUAUUGGAAAUAACUUCUCUACCUUCUAGAUUGAGAUAAGAUUGCGUACACAUUCCUUUUUUAAUAUUAUUCUUUCUCAAAAGUCGAACUAGGUAAGAAUGAAAAAAUAUUCUUUCAUUUCAUCACACCUUUUGGAGGUGCUUUUGCCCUAGAGUUGAAAGUUUCAAUAGUUUGGGUUGGUUUUCUAAAAUUUCUUUCGUAGGGGAGCUUUGCGUCUUUAUACUUUGAUGACUUUUCAACAAAUUGACAUCUUCAUUGUUGACCUUAUACUUGCCUUCAAAUAAUUUAGAUCAAAAGGAACAUACCAUAUAUGAUUUGUUAGUUUCACCAAAAGCAUUGGUAGAUAAUCAAAGACAUUUGUAUACUUCUCUGGAGAGUUUACUUGUUCUCUUACUACUUAUAUAAUAUUAUCUGAGAUGUUUUGACGUCAUUUGUUAAAUUUAUCUGAUGAAAAUCAAUUUGGGAUGACAAAAUUUUCAAAAUGACAUAAUGUGGACCUUGAACACUUAAUUAGAAAACAAAUAAAAAGUUCGAAAACUUUUUUUUAAUCCUUAAAUUAUUUCUGAAUAUUUUCUGAAACAAAAUUAAUUAACCAUCUUAUGACUUGUGAAUCAAAUUUGAACAAAUGCAAAGCGAUUGAACUAAUUUGAUUUCAUAUGAAAACUUUGACCAGACAGAAAGGCUUAUCAUUCAAAAAUGAGAGAAUUUUUUUUGAAGUGAAGUGGUUCCAUUUAAAAAUUUUAAAAAGAAGUCCCAAACUCACGUUGUUAUUUUAUUAAACAAGAGGAGAAAAAUGUUAAGGUAUUGCAUAGCGUACCUCAUGUUUUCGUAUUAAAUGUUUAAAUCUGAAUAUUGUUAUCUCCAAAUUUGAAUACUAAAUAAUUAAAACUAUUAUUUUCUCAGAAACUAAAUGUGAAUAUUUAUCUUUAUUUAAAAACUAACAAAAAUGGAACUCGAUGUAUGAAGUAUUCUGCGUUCACGAAGAGUCUGAGGAAGGAUCGCAUCCCAAAAACUGGUAAUGUAAGCCGCCUAUCCUCGGAGCUUUUCCCUCACCUCAUAUUAAGUAAAAUGUCUCGUCUCAUGCUCACACAUGGGAAGAAGCAACCAUUGGAAGUAAGAUUGAUAAUAACAGUAUACACAUGCUUAGAUUUUUUUUGGCACAAGUACGUAAAUUAAAAUCGUCUUUUAUUGCUAUUAAUUACGUUUUAUAGUUAUCAAAAAGUUACAUAAAGUAAAUAUAUUCAAAUAUUACAAAAAUAAUAAAUAAGACUUUUGGAAUUUAUUAUCCUAAAUAAGUCAAAAUGUCACGACCCAAAUUCACUAAGAGUCAUGAUGGCACCGUACACCAUUGUCAGGCAAGCCAACCGAAAUACUUAAUAAAAUUCUCGUUUUAAUAAUUUUUGAAAACUAUAAUUUUCCUUCAAUUUUACCAGUAAAAGAUAAUCAUUUCAAAUCAAAUAUGAAUGUUAAGAAGUUUAUACAAGAUACCUCAUAAUCAUCCUAGAACUCGUUGUUACAAGUGCAUGAGCAUUUACUAGCUAAUGAAAUAAAAUACAAUAAUUGUCUGGAAUACAAAGUGGACAGAAAUGAAAAUACAGUAAAAUACUCUGAAGGAGUCUCUAUUGGUUGUGGGUCGUCUCGAAUAAUGCAAUUCACCUAAAUCUUCGUAUCAACCAUGCCGCUAUAACACUAAGCCACUAGCCACACGUGAACAUGUGCAACAAAAAUGCACAGUAAUUGUAGUAUGAGUACGAAAACAACGUGUCUCAGUGAAUAUCCCGUCUAAUCUCGAAAAAAUAGAGGCGAGAGUUCGACUUCGACAGUUAUUAGUAGUCUAAUGAUAAUAUAGUAAAAAUGUGACAAAAUCAUGGAUUUUGUAACGCAGGAGUAAACUCAUAAAGCCGGAAAGCAGGUAAACAACUUCUCAACUAAUAAAGGAUUUUCAAAGAUUUACUUUUCAUUGUCUUUAUCUUUUUGUCUCUGGCAAGGAAAGACAAGUAUCAACAUUCAUAAUUCUCAGGCAAGUAAUAUAAACAUGUGCACUGCUGAGGGUCGAACGACGCAGACCAUAGAUGCAUCUAUUACCCGUUUCGCGAAUAAUACAUGCGACGCAAUCAAAAUAUAUAUAUCAGUCACCCCGCUUGCGAAUCAUACAUACUACACAUGUAUACAUAAAACACAUAUUCAAACAGUCAAUCAAAACUUCGUCAGGGAGACAAUUAUUUAAGGAUUGUCAAUUUCUCUUUUACAAGCCGAAAAAAUGAAGUUUAACUCUUUUAGAAAAUUAUUUACCACUCUAAUGCAAUUAAAGUAAUUUAAACUGCCAAUAAGGUUACUAUUAUUACAAGUAAAGCAUGUUUUUUUGGGUCUUAAACUAUCCUGACAUAAGCAUAACAGUAGCUACGCACGGACUCUCGUCACUUCGUGCGUACGUAGCCCCCUCAAUUAGGAGCACAUAUUCAAUUAAUUCACCUAUGGGAACAAUUCCCUCUUACAAGGUUAGAAAGGAGACCCACUUUGCUCUGAAGAUCCAUAUCGAUAUUUCACGCUCUUCCGAAGACUCGAAUCGAGAUACAAUGCUCCAAAACUAGCCAAUAAUUAUGCAAAUCUAUUAAUAUAUGCUCUAAUGCUCACAACAAUUCAAUUUUAGAUAAAUUUUUAACUCCGUUAGAAAAGUUGACAAAAUUGUCCUCAUGCCCAUGUGCACGGAUUUCGAAAAACUCACAAAAUUCGACAACUCCUUCCAAUACAAGUUCAACCAUAUCAAUUUUAUCAAAUUUCGAUAACAAUUUGACCUCCAAGUCUUGAAUUUUCCUUUUUGAAACGUUUACAAAAAUCUUGAUUUCUUCCAUUUAAAUCCUAAAUAAAUGAUGAAUAUAACCACAGAAUCAUGAAGUAUAAUUACUUCGGAUAUAGAACACUCACUUCAAUUCAUAUUGUGAAAGUUUCCUAAAAAAUCGCUUCAAUCCGAGCUCUAUAGCUCCAAAUAUGAUAAAAAUGACCGAAACCUCAAAAUAUAGAUUCUGCCCAGGUAUUUUCUCUUCGCGAUCGCAAAAAAUGUUUCGCGAUCGCAUAGAAUAAAUGCCCAACUCUUCCAGACAAUCUCUAGUAUAAUGGCCAUAACUUGUGUACAAAAUUAUAAAUUGCAAAUGGUUUAACUUUUUGAAAAUUAGACUCCAAGGAAUACAACUUUCAUGCUUUGCUCAUCUUCCAAUUCCUUAUAGAUUACAAGACAUAAGCUUCCAAAGUCAGUCUUGUGCAACACAAAUUUAUUCUUCGCGAUUUCCAAACCCUUCCCGGAUAGGAUGUAGUAUACCAUUCGUAACUUUUUGCACAUUAUUCAAAUACCAAAUAGUUUUUUUUUAAAACUAGACACAAAGGGGUGCAACUUUCGUUUUUGGAUUAUCUCCAAUUUCUUUAUAGAUUACGAGAUACAAGCUUUCAAAAUCAGGUCAGUGCAGCAGAAACUUUCUUCUAUGCGAUCGCGAAAGCCUUUCCGCGAUCGCGAAGACUGGCCAUUUUCUCACAUUUUACUCACUGCGAUCGCGACCAAUUCCCCGCGAUCCCAUAGCACACUGUUGUAGCUAAAAACCAGCAGCUAAAAAUGGUUUAGAAAUGGUCUGAAACUACCCAGAAACUCACCCAAGCCCCUUCGGGAACCCGUCCGAACAUAGCAACAAGUCUCAAAAAGUAUCACGGACUUAGUCGAGACCUCAAAUCAUAUCAAACAAAGCUAAAACCACGAAUCACACUCCAAUCCAAGCUUAAUGAACUUUAGAAUUUUAAACUUCUAUAUUCGAUGCUGAAACAUAUCAAAUCACAUUCGAGUAACCUCAAAUUUUACAUGCAAGUCAUAUUUGACAUUACAGACCUACUCCAACUUUCGGAAUCAGAAUCUGAUCCCGAUAUCAAAAAGUCCACUUCCAGUCAAACUCCUCAAAACCUUCAAAUUUUUAUCUCUAGCCAAAUAACUCCAAAAUGAUCCAUGGACCAUCGAAUUCACUUCCGAUCGCGCUCCCAAUACCAGAAUUAUCAUGCGGAGCUAUUCCUAGACUCAGAAUCCCAAACAGAUAUCGGUAAUACUGAAAUGCACCAACCCAAGCUUAUGAAAUUCUUUCAAAAAUGUCAAAUUCCACAAUAUUUGCCGAAAUAUUUCUGGGUCUUCCAAAACUUGAUCCGAACAUACGCCCAAAUCUGAAAUUAUCAUAAUAACCUGUUGCAACCUUCAAAUCCCGAUUCUAAGGACAUUUACUCAAAAAUCCAAACUUAGUCCAUUCUUUCACCUUAAAGCUUCCGAAUUAAGAAUUUUCUUUUCAAAUCAACUCCGAACUUUUCGAAGUUCAAUUCCGACCAUGCGUACAAGUCAUAAUGCCUGAAGUGAAGCUGCUCAUGGCUCAAACCAGUGAAAAACGCGUUAAAGCUUAAAACGACUGGUCGAGUCGUCACAAAAAAGGGGCCCAGAGUAUUUGUGUGGCUAUAAAAGAUUCUUAUUAAGGAUAGAAUUGUAAGUUUAAGCUAAAUUGUUACCAAAUUUAGAAAGUGGUCACUCUUUUUGAAAUGGAACAAAAAGGAAAUAUGUUCACAUAAACUGAAAUAGAGGGAGUAGUUAAUUAGAGUCAAUAUCACGUCUAUGAGCCCAUUUAGCUUAGCUGAUUUAGAGUAGCUGAUAUGCAUUAGGUGUUGAAAAGUAUUUUUAAGUGCUGAAGCUGAUUUAAAAAAUAAGCAGUACGUGUUUGGAUAAAAGUACUAAAUUAAUAAUAAGCAGCUGAAGACGUGGGUAUACGAAGAGUUUUGUUUUAAAAAGAAGUAUUUUAGUGAUAGAAUAGUAAAUAUUUUGGUCAAAUUUAAAGUGAUUAUAAGCUGAAAUUUGAUAAGUUGGGGGAGAUUAACUUAUGGCUUUUGACUUAUUUUUAGCUUAUAAGCACUUUUAAUUUUACCAAACACAUAAAUAAGCCAAAAAGUGCUUAUAAGCUAAUUUAACGCCAAACACCCUCUGUGUGUUUCUACUUCUUAGAAAAAAUGGGCUACUAAGACCAUCUCCAAGACUACUCUAUUUCUUGCACUAAAUCCAAAUUUAGUGCAAGAAAGAUUUGGUGCAAGAAAUGGUAUUGUUUUCUUCCAAUGCAACACUAAUUCUUGCACAAUAUAGAGCAUGAAUAGAUUUGGUGCAACACUAUUCAUCACUCUAAAUUUGGUUUAAUAUUAUUUUAUUCAAUCUUUUUAUUUUUUGGACUUUUAAUUUAUGAUAUAUUGUGUAUAUAAUUAAUUCUUAUAAUAAGAUCUUUAUAAUUUUAGUUUUAUAUCCUAUUUUUUUAUAUAUUAAUUUUUGUAUAUAUUAUAUUUAUAUAAAAUUAUAAGUUUAUUUUAUUAUUAUUAUUAUAAUUGUAUAAAAAGAAACAUAACCAUUAUUUAAAAAUAAAAAAUACAAAUGUAAGAUAUCUAUUGUUGCUAAGAUGCUCAUUUCGCACUUUGUAAUGCAUUAAUCGAACAUUUAUGAAAUAAUAGAGGGAAAUUUAAAUAUUUUUGUGGUACUUAAAUUAAAUUUGACUAUGAUGUAAUAUUUGUAAUAGAUAAUUAUAUAAGUGGUGAAUGUGAAUUAUAUAUAAUGAAUAUGGAAAAAAAGAUAAUAUUAGUUUGAAGAAAAUAAAAUAUAAAAAUAAAUAAAAGAGAGAGAAAAUUUAAUGUAGAAAAUAAUAUAAUAAUCUAAAUAAAUUUGGUGUUAUAUUAUUUUGGCGCAUGAUUCUAGCCUUGAGAUGGCGUAAGUCACUAACGAGCACUAAAUGCUGCGGUACAUAACAGCGCACAAAAGCCAAAACUAUAGUUGGCGGAAGCGACAAUCCUCUUAAGAAUGGGCGCGUGUUUCGGUAAUGGAUAUUAUUGUCCAUCCACUAUUACUUUACUGGAGUCAAUGUAAUUAGCGAACCAAAAUUCAAAUUUUAAUUGGCCGUAAUGCCCCACACCCACAAUAAUCUAUUCACAAUUGAAAAGGCCUGUCCUCCUCUACUACACUAAUAAGUAUUCAACACGUCGGUAACGCCUCGAAUUUUCAAAGUGAGAGACUAUUUGGAUCAGAAAUUGAAUUUUGAUAUCUAUCUAUCCAAGGCCUGUGAGAAAAAGGGAAUGGCAACAUUUGGAGGGACAACACAGAAGUGUAAGGCCUGUGAGAAAACUGUCUACUUGGUUGAUCAACUUAAGGCUGACAGUAAAGUCUAUCACAAGGCUUGUUUCAGAUGUCAUCACUGCAAGGGUACUCUCAAGGUCAUUACUUCAUUUUCUCACAAUUAUAUUUAUAAAUAUGUAUUUCCUCUUUUAUAUAUAGUGACUUUCUGAUUGCUUGAUAUCAUUUAUGGCAGUAGCAUAUAUCCUCAAACAAAAAAGGAAUUCUUUUCCUAAUGUUAUUAAAAUGUAUUUCCUGGUUUGAUUUUUGCUUGGGCGUGUUCAGAUUGAAACACUCAUGCUACUUUUUAAUUUGAUUCGAAGAUAAUCGAGAAUUAUAGUCUUGGACAAUGGAUCUCCAUUAGCUGCUAAAGAUGUGAACUGCCUUGUUGAAAGUUUUUGGGUAUUUGGCAGUACUACUUUCAUAGAUGUAAUAUGUAAACAUGCGAUUUUUGCAUUUGAAGCUGGGUAGGAUCAUCUGUUACAUAGAGAUAACAGCUUUGAUGACAUAUUGUUAUUGAUAAAGCGAUUUACAGCAGUUUCUUAUUGUCUUCAAUAUUCUACAUGAAAUAUAUCAGAACAAUACAAAAAUUGAUUGUAUUGCUAACUUAAAUAUUGUCUUCUUUUAAUCCUCAAUUAACCUCUCAUACCGGCAUUGCUUCUCCUAUUUUGUUGAUCUGUGAAUUCUGGAUCUAUUAGCUUUUUCAAAUGACAGUGCAAAGGAUAAACCAUGAAUUUGUAACUUCUGACUAGUUGUUCUAUUGCCCAAGUGCUGGCAUUUCUUUGGAUUUAUCAAAGUAAGACUAUGCUAAAUGACAAACUUUUUCCUUCACUAUUUGGUUGAUGAGUUGAGCGAUGUUUUUGCAUUCUAGUCGUGAAGUCAGAUCCUCAACUCAACAUCUACCUUUGCUAGUUAUGACAGUACAACUCUUGGUUUGUGUCGAAAUUGCAGCUCUUCCUCCAAUUUUGAAGGACAGAGCAUUUCUUUUUUCCUGACUACUUCAUUAAAUCUCUCUCUAGUUUGUGCUACUUGAUUUAGUACAACAUUAGUAAUAUUCGCCUAAUUGCCAGGUAGUCUAUUGAUUGAAAGUAUUAAAGUCUAGGUUGACUGAUAUUAUGAUGUCAAUUACUCUCUGAUGUAUCUUUAGCAUCAUUUCCUUUGCCUUUUUUAUCAAUCCAUAAAAAGACUUCUUGAUCUUAAUUUCCUUGUCCUUUUUUAACUUGUGCAGCUAAGUAACUACAACUCCUAUGAAGGAGUUUUAUACUGCAGACCUCAUUUUGAUCAACUAUUCAAAAUGACUGGAAGCCUGAACAAGAGUUUCGAAGGUAACUAGAGCUACUUAGUCGAUAUUUGUUAUAAGUAUUUUUGCAUCAGUUAUUCCUUUGAAGCUUGUUUUCAGUUGCUCGUUGUAUUGUUUGCAGUAGGGGCUCCAAGAACAGCCAGGGAAAGAUCUGCUGAUCAGGUAUUCCAUGAUUAAUUCUAAUGUCAAGAUCUCUUAUGAUCCCUUAAGCAUACACCGUUCUCUUCUCUUUACCCGCUGAUCUCACUUGUGUUGUGUUAUUGAUCAAUUCCAGGGACAAUCAAACAGCAAAGUUUCAGCUUUGUUUGGUGGAACUCAAGAUAAAUGUGUCUCCUGCAAGAAAACUGUUUACCCCCUCGAAAAAGUACUGUCAUUUUCUUUUCUGUUUAGUAGUUAGCAUUAGUGGAAAACGAUGAAUAGUAAUCACCAGAAAAUAAGAAUUUAUGAAAUGUUGAAUCGCCUAGUUGAAAGCUCCAUUUUAGCUCUUAGAUCAGCAUAUCCUUACUAUGCUCAUUGCUAUUUCACAGGUGGCUGUUGAUGGCAUGUCAUACCACAGGUCUUGUUUCAAAUGUAGCCACGGCGGCUGUGUGAUUAGUCCAUCAAAUUAUGUGGCUCAUGAUCAUAAGUUGUACUGUAGGCACCAUCACACCCAGCUCUUCAAGCAAAGAGGCAACUUCAGCCACAUGGAAGACCAAGAGAAGAUUAAAGGGGUGAUUUCAAAUGGAAAAGUAUAGAGUUCUGCAAUGAAAGUUUUCGUGUUCGUGUGAUUUUUCAAUACAACAUUGAGAGUCAGUUUUCUGGCCUUAAUCUCGAGAGGUUAAUACAUAUACAGGAGCGUUAUUAUCAAAUGGCUAUAUGUGAUAUUUUCAUGAGAGUGUCAACAGAGUUUCACUUCUUUUCUUUUUCUGUUGGUGUGUAAUUUACUUGCUAAAUAUGAUAGUUUUGCCUAAAGUAUGUAUAAUGGGAUUGCUCUUGUAGUUGUCCCGAAAUUGGUGUGGCUUUUAUCAGGGAAAAGUCUGUUUUCCUCGGUUCAUAAAUUCAUUUUUCAGUUUCCUUUGUGGCAAUUUCUUUUGACUACUUAGUCUUACACUCAAUUACUAUAUUCCAUGUUAUGCUUCUUUUGAAGGUACGAGAGAGAAAAGGGUUAGCCAUUAAACUGUGGUUGACCCUUGUCUAUAUUUUACUACUAGUAUUUUUAAGGUUAACAAGUAAUGAUCCAAUAAAGGCCAUUCGUGCUGGCACUCAAAAGUUGGAAUCAGCAAAGUCACUUAACUAGGUUGAUAACACUCAGAACGCCACUUAAUUAGAUUUUUUAAACUUUUAUUUACCAAAUACAUAUUUUACCCUCUAAAUUAUCUUUUGAGUGGUAUAAGCAUAAUUAAGUGACUUUUCUGUUACAAACAAAGGAGUGACCAUUUAAAUAAUGACUAUCUCAAUUAUUCGAAAUUACCUACUAAACGUUAAGUUAGGUUCAGUCAGUCACUCAACAGCAAUUGGGAUUACGCACAAUGCUGAAACCUAAGUUAGGUUCAGUCAGUUUCAAGUCCUUGUAAUUUGUCCAGUAAACUUCUAAAAACUAGUCUAAUUGAGUUUUUUAUGGAGUAAAAUAUUUGAAGACCCCAACUUAGUCGUAUUUGACAUCAUUGAGUUUUCUUAUGGAGUAAAAAAUAUAUUUUAAGACCCCAGCUUUGUAUUCGAGUUUCUUUUACCACUGCUCUACACGAGUUUUCACUUAUUCACUUCCCCACCCCACCCCCCAGGACAUAAAUUAGCGCAAAGGACUGAAUAUUAGUAUGACUGGAGCUGAGACGCCUGAUUGAUUUCCAGUUUCAUAUUCUUUGUGAAACUUCAAAUGCGCUUGUUUUCUUGGCGUAAAGCCAAGUACUUGACUGAUAUUAAGCCCAAAUGUCGAAUCUGUUAUUCUUCAACAACUACUUUUUCCGCCGUCCCCCAACACAAAAUUCCCAGCCAGAAUAUUCACAUAACUCGAAAAGAAUUAUCUAAAUUGCUACACCAACGCCCACCUAAAUCUCAACUAAAGCAAAUACAUGCCCAAAUACUCACACAAGCUCUCUCAUCACCUGCUUCUUUAGUUAAUUCUCUCAUUCACUGUUACCUCCACACUAAGGAGUUUACCUCAGCAAGAUUUUUGUUCUUUCACUAUCCUCUGCCUGCACCCCCAAUUCUAAUAUGGAAUUUGAUGAUCAGAGCCUACUCCAAACUCCAAAAUUCUUCAGAAAGUUUCAGUCUUUUUCGCCAACUCCUGUAUCUAGAUCACCUGAUUGGGGUUCAUCCAGACGAGUAUACCUUCACUUUCAUUGUUACAUCAUGUGCCAACCAAAGAUCAAUUGUACACGGAAAAAUUGUUCAUGGAUUGGUGGUGAGAAAUGGGCUUGAAUCAAACUUAUAUGUGGGAAAUUCAUUGAUUAAUAUGUAUGGGGUUUUCAAGAUUACAAAUGAUGCUUACAAAGUUUUUGAUAAAAUGACUGAAAGAGAUGUAUUCUCUUGGACUAGUUUGGUAUGUGGCUAUGCAAAUAAUGAUGAGAUGGAUCAAGCUUGUGAAAUCUUUCAUAAAAUGCCACUGCGGAAUGGUGUUUCUUGGGCUGUUAUCAUAUCGGGUUAUGCUGGAAACGGGAGGUACAGGGAGGUACUUGUCUGUUUAAAUAAGAUGUUUUGUGCGGUUGAGGAUAAGGUAAGGCCUAAUGAGGCUGUACUUGUUUGUGCUCUAUCUGCUUGUGCUAAUCUCGGGGCCUUAGAGCAGGGAAACUGGAUGCAUGCUUAUAUUUUGAGGAAUGAAAUUCCUAAUAGUUCAAAUAUUUCUACUGCUCUUAUUGACAUGUAUGCAAAAUGUGGGAGAAUAGACUGUGCAAGAUUGAUUUUCAAUAGAAUUCCAAGACCUGAUGUACACAAUUUUACAAGUAUGAUCUCAGGGUUAUCAUAUCACGGGCUUGGUGAGGAUUCCUUAAUUAUGUUUAACGUGAUGUUAGAUAAAAAUGUUAAGCCAAAUGAAGUAACUAUUAUAGGGGUGCUUAAUGCCUGUAGCCAUUCAGGUCUGGUAGAAGCAGGUUCUUCAAUCUUCUAUAACAUGGAGACCUUAUGGGGACUUAAGCCUCAUAUAGAACACUAUGGCUGUUAUGUUGAUUUACUUGGCCGUGCUGGAUACUUGGAAAAGGCACUUGAAGUUGUCCAGAGCAUGCAGAUAAAACCUGAUAUAGUCAUAUGGAGGGCUUUGCUCAGUGCCUGUAGAAUUCAUCGCAACAUUUUCCUUGGUAACUGCAUUAUAGAUUUUAUAAAGCAGCUUAACUCUGAUGGACCUAGCGGAAGUGAGGUACUGCUCUCUAAUCUGUAUGCAUCUCUAGGCAACUGGGAGAAAGUUUCUGAAGUGAGGAAAGCAAUGGGUCAGAGAAAUACCCAAUCAGACAUCGGAUGUAGUUGGAUCGAGGUGAAUGGUGUUAUUCACGAGUUUCGUGUUGCUGAUAAGUUACACCCAAAGAUUUUGGAAGUUCUGGACAAAUUAAACAAACUAUGGAUAGUGCUCUCCUAGAAGGCAUUGUUGCUAACACCAUGCAUGUGAUAUAAGUCCAUUGAAAGAGAGAACGAGGAAGUAGCAGCUUGGCUUGGUGAAUAGCUAGCCACGUUUGGUUCCAUGAAUAUGUUUUCUGGGACUUGAAUUGUCACAUUAUAAAGUUAAGAAUUCAUUGUGACUGCCAUCAGAUUUGAAGGCUAUUUCUGAAGUUUAUGACAUAGAGAUCCUUUUUUUAGGAUGCUUCUUAUUUUUGCACUUUCAGAAGAAGAAAUUUGCUACAAUGACUACUCGGAAUAAUGAGUUCUGGGAAAGAACACCUUUAUCUGUAUAGAAUGUUGAACAAACUGUUAGUAGCAGAUCAUAAGCUCUAAGGCUCUUCUGAUUUUAGAUUUUAACUUUAUAGGAUAAAGCUGAAGUUGGGGGUUCCUAUCUUCUUUAUAUCAAGGGUCAGGUUCCUAUCGUUUUUAAUGAUUUUGGAUCUACUUUACCACCCAACAGAAGGGUUCGCUUUUGAUAUGAGGCAUCAUGCAUAAGGUGCAUCAGAAAGUUAAAAUUCUUUAGACAUGAUGAGAGCCCCGGUUGAUCAAUUGAACAAGGGAUGGAAGGAUGUUACGGUGUUGGGAUUAUCUGCAGGUCUGCAUGAUGGUGGAAAUGGAGUGGCUGGAGCUCCUUCAGAUCAAUUAUAUUGGGAAGUCGUCCGACUGCUAAAUGAGUGCGCCAAAUUUUAUCUCUAACUUCCUGCAUCUCUGUUUUGCUAUAUUGAGCUAUGUCACAUAUGCCUUCUGUGUCACUUUUUGCAUUCCACUACAGAUUUGCUUUGGCUUCUUUCCAGGAAUUUUUGCUAGAUUCCGAGUUCAUUUUCAUUGUAAGUGUUCAAUGACAACGUAUGCAAUUUAUUUCUCCUAUGUUCUCUAUCUCUCAAUUUUACUCGCAGACUUGUUUCAUCUUUUGAAUUAUACUUUUAUCAGUUCGUUGAGGCAUAAGUUCUUGAAAUAUGGUCGUAAAGAUCUUCUGCAUCCAUUCUUCCAUGACCUUAUGCUCCUAAAUUACUUGGCUCAUUUUAAGCAAAUAUGCAUACCCUCUGAGGUAAGACUCUAACUCAAGUUUAACUUGAUUUCGAGAGGACAUUGGACAAGAAAUGUAGAUAUAUACUUGUGAGGUAAUAUACUUGUGAGGUACUUGCACUGGUUUACCAAAAUUAAUGGACCUUCACAAUAACAUUACCAUCAUACUCUGGUACCACUGAAAUUUUAGGUGGAGAAGUUAAAGACGUAAGAGAUGCAAAAUAUGGUUGGUGGGGUUAGUUACGAGUUUUCUUUACAUUUUAAAUUGGGAAGCUACAAAUCAAAUGAAGGUCCUACAAUGUAUAUGAUCUUGCCACAUUUUUUGUUUGGACCACAGCUACAUUAAUGCCAUGAUCUUAAUUUGAUUCGUCCAAGUUCCUGUGGUCCGAAACCAGUGGGAGAGUUGUCUAAAUUUCUCUCCAGAUGGUAGUGCUCUACCUUUUUACUUUACCAAAGCAUCUGAAAGAUAAAAAAGUUGAAGAAAAACCGAAUCAAACUAAAAAUAAGAAAAUCCACCUAUGAUGUAAGAAUCAAUAUGUACUUUGAUUUUGAUUCAGUACUCAGAUAACUCCAGUAUAAUCCCAUGAGUGGGGUUGGGGAGGGUAAGCUAACGGGGGUUGGGUUGGAUAUGAGACGGGUCAAAAAGAUAAUGCAUAAAUUAAUAAAAUUAUCCAACUCGGCCCAUAUUUAAUACGAUUGAAAAAUUGGUUAACCUGGCUUCCUGAAUAUGAUCACUUUGGGAGAAUCAUAGUCUCUCAAAUUUGAGUAACUCCGAAUUUGAGGCUUUACAAAAUAUAAAAAUUAAACCCUUUAGUUAUUCAUUGGUUAUCCAUUUUCUAAGUGGAUAAUAUUGAUUCUUAUCCAUAUAUGACCCAUUUUUAAACAAUUCAUUAUUCAACCCAUUUGUUAAAGGAUAAUAUGGGUGGAUAAUUAUUUUCUUUUGCCACAGUUAACGCAGACUAAUCCCUACCUUGAAGAUUGUAAAAUUGUUUUUGAUGGACCCUCAAGAUGAAAAGAAAGUAUUAACAACAAGCAGAAUAACAAUAUAAUAUGAAAACGAACUGAAAGAAACAGUAUUCAAAAGUAUCAAAUUAAAUUGAAAGAAAAUUCAAACAAACUUUGUUUCUACACUCGAAGUAUCAUUUUUCGACUUCAACCUUAAAAACUUCUUUUUUUGCGUUUCAACUAAAUAUCUGUUCAAAUGCUUCAUCUGGCAUAAAAAAUAAAAAAUAAAAAAAAUUAGGGGGGGCUAGUACGUUAGGCUGGUAGCAGGGAAAAUCUAAAAGAAAAAAGAAGGAUCUAAUUGGCUUUGGUAGGGAAACUAGAAGAAGGGCCGGGUAUGAUGCACGCUUGUUCCAGUGCAACAAAAGAAGACUGAACUGAUUGCUUUAAGUCAGAAAAUGAAGGAAGCAUUAUUAUUACAAAUAUUCUUAAAAACUUUGCUUCAUCACUUGUUGUCCCAUAUUGAUCAUUACAAAUACCUGUCACAAAAAAUGCUUUUAUUAUAGAUGCCAAGUCUUAUAAUGAUUAAGCAGAUUACUUUUUCAUCUUGAAUUAGAAUCUGGGGUAUAUAUGUGGCUCCUUCAAUAUAAAAGGAAUUGGCCUGAGAUUUCAUUCCAGCUGUGCUCAUUAUCCAUUAAUUGUCACAACAUUAGAUUAUUAGUGGAUCCUAAAAUAAUCUUAGUGAGAUGCUCUGCCUGUCGAUUUUUAGGUAAAAGCAACGUUUUUUUCUUAAAACUAUUGAAGCUAUUAUUUGUUAAGAGUGUGAUUAUUAAGUUUGUGGAAAUGGGCCUCACCACGGGAAGAUGGGGUUGUUCUUAUCGUUUUGUUUAAUGUGUCAAAUACGUGAAUGUAUCAUAACAUCUGAUGCUCAUUCUUUGAAAAGAAAUCAUAAGUCGUGUGAAGGAAUUAUCCAAAUCUAUAAUUCUGGGAACUAGUCCUUCAUAUCUUUGAGCAACAUUCUAAAAGCAUUAAAGUAACAGAGGAAUUGGAUUAUCCAAAAUCAAUGAGUUAUCCCGUUAAGAGAAUUGAUUCAUAUUUGGAAUAUCCCAAAAAUUGUGUAUCCUUCUUUAUUGUCAGUUUGAGUAACUAAAACUAUAUAUGGAACAUAUAAAAAGUAGCACAUUAAUAAUGUCAUCGCUUAAUUCAUAUCAGGCAUCAGCCUAUAUAUGUAUUGUUGAUUCGCCGAAAAGCAUUAUCCAGCUCAAACCAAUAUUCUUUGUUCCAAAGAGUUAAGAUCAAUUGAAGCUCCUAAACUGAAUAAAACUAAACCUUCAAUUAUUUGACAAACCACUAUUUACAUCAAGUUUAACUUUUGUAGAAUGAUAAUGUAAAAGUUAAUUAUCAUGUUACCUUUACAGUUUUAGAGAUAAUUAACUGUCUAUAAUCAAUGGUGUCAAUAAUCCAAAAAAUAAAGCAAAUAACAAUUUACACGUUAAAUUGCACUAACCGAUAGCACUCACUUGAUGAGUCAUUUUAAUUGUUUCGCACUCCAUUGACCUUUUCUUUGUUAUCAAAUCUUUCAUAAAUUUUGCAUAUCUUGGCAUUUGCUCAAGUGCCUCAACCAAAGGGACAUUGAUUGUGAGGCUCUUCAUCAUGUCAAUGAACUUUUUGACGAUUUAUUUACAAAUUCGGUAAAUAUAAAAUAAAUUCUAAUGCUUUUGAGUUGUUCCAACAAAAAAGAAAAUGAAUUAGAAAAAAGAAAGAUAUAGGAAAAAAGAAAAGCUAAAAGAGAAAUCGGACGCUAAUUAAAAGUGUGAUAAUUCAACUCAGAAAUCAUUGUUACAGCUUCAUUAUCAAACUAUUACUAGGUGAUUUAUCCCAUGAAAAGCUAUAGAAGAAUGGCAUAUAAGAACCAUUCUUAGUAGGGUGCCACAUCCUAGGGCUUGAUUAACCUAGGUAGGAACUAGGAAUGAUUAGAUAGCAUUUCAUGGGGUAUGUGUUUGUUUCUGAUGAAUGAUGGAUUUAUUGACGUUUGACUAGCUAGGUCCACCGUCACUAUUUUUUGGUGGGAUGGAUUUAAUUUCUCUAACCUAAUCAAAAUUUCGAAUUCGAGUAAAAAAAUAUAAAAAAUAAAAAGUUGAAAUAAAGAACGCUACCUUUUAAUCGAUUUUAUACUGAAUUAUGAUCAAUCAGGACUCUAAUAUAAAUAUUGAACAUUGAAUGAGAAAUAAAAAAAAUAUUAGCUAGCUAGGUUAUUAAGGAUGGUGAGGCCUCAUUUUUAUUUGGCAAAUCAAAGGUAUUUGAAAUAUAUGAAGCUAAGCAUAUCCUACCAAAUAAUAAUGCACGCAUGCAUAUGACGCUUAUUGGCUUGCUUUCGCGUUUGUUUCCUUUUGUCAUUUGAGGUGUUUUUUCAUUCUCAAAUAUCUUUACUUUUUCCAUUUGCUCUCUUUGUUCCGUCUCUCUCAUUUCCUCUCCACUGGCUUUUCCAUCUGUGCUCCCUUUUUGCUACAAAAGUUAAGUUGGAUUUAAAAGCUUUGGCGCACUCAUCAUCAUUACUUAAAACUAUGUAUAUCACUUGAUCAUUGCAAGGAGAAACUAUUCAUUUUAUGAUUGUUUGGUAAAUUUUGGAAUAUCUUUUUCCCUUUUUUUAUUUUAUCUGGGCUUUAUAUAUAAGCUGGUAAGCUCAUAAAAGGCGGAGAAUCGACUACUAUAUCUAGUUGAUUUGAAUUUCACCCCAAGGAAAAAUCACUAUAAUAUUCCUAGUAAUAUACAGGAAAAUUUAAAAUGGCAGGGUUCCAAAUUUAAAUGAAAUAUUAUCACUUUUAGCCCAUAAUAGAAACUUUUAACAAUUAUUCUGUAUCAUCAAAGAAAAUUCCAAUGAAAAAUAGGUGAACGUCAUUGGUCUGAAAUUUUCGAAAAAAUGUCCAAUUUUUGACUAUAGGUUAGAAUUAACUCACAUUGAACCCCAAUAUUAAGGGUUAAGGCAAAAGAGGUUUCCUUAAGGGUGCGAGAGGAUAAUAUUAUACUAGAAAUAUAAUCGAUUUCAAAUAGAAAAUGAACAAAUUUGACCUUUUUACUAAUAAAGGAUAUAACUUGACAAAUUCAUCUGUCUAAUUCUUUGUAUUUCACAUCUAAAGAUUAUAGUAUUACAAUUACUAAUAAAAUAUUUAAAGUAGUCAUUUUCAUUUUCAUUUAACAUCUAUUCUCUACGGCCAAUAGGUUGAAACUUUGAAAAAGGACUUCACUAAUUUUGGGCAAGUGUUACUCAAACGCAAAUCAUAAUUUCGUUCAACGUUGGAAGUCUAUUAGAGAGUCCAAACAAGUAACAAAAUUUGGUGAUUCCAACAAAGCCUACAAUUCUUUUCAAUAAAAGAAGGCAUCCAAAUGAUUACAAAGGUAAGCCAUGUGAGUUUUUUUGGGGGUUUCUUUCUCAUAUCUGCUGUACAUGUGAUUAAUUCUGCAUAGCUAGACUUGCUAGCUAGCUCUAAUUUUAUGACGAAAAACUACCCAUCUUCUCUCUUUUUUUCGUCUAUUUUUCUGGUGGAAAUAUGGUUUCUCCUCCUCCUAGUCCAGAAUCUCAUACACAAAUCCAAAUAAAAGCAUCAAAGUCUCAGCUUGUAGCCUCAGAUAUGCUGUGAAGUUUGGGAUGCCAUGUUUUGGGUUUUGCACCUGUUGAGCUCCGAUGCUUUUCUUGUUUCACCUGAAAAUGUGUACAAACUAUUGUCAAUUUAUAUACUGAUAUUAAAUCAAAAAUGGUAGUAGUGUAUAACUAUAGAAUUCCAAGCUAUUGUCAAUUUAUAACGUUAAUUUUUUUUCUUCUAUUUUAUUAUCCUUUCAAAAGAUGAAAGAGAAACAAGUAAUUUUGAAACUCGAAAAGAAACAAACAAAAAAAUAUCACCUUUAUCCUAUCUUCUCCAGUUAUAUUCUGUAUGAGUAUGACUGAGAUAACUUUGUACACAAACGUUCCUUUCCUUCUUAUUUUUACUUUUUUUUUUUUUAGUUCUUCAUAGUUAGCCAUGGGAAAAUAUGAGAACCUGCAUAGGCAUGAAGUUUGAAAAAAGGAAAAUCACCUGUUUGGAGUUGUCCAUUUCAGAUCUUCUUUGUCCAUUCUUGGACUGUGAAGUUGAAAAUUUCUCAAGAGUUGACUUCUCUUGUUUCUUCCCGGAGUCUAGCUGCUGCUUCUUGGCAUACUUCUUCGCCCAUAACCCUUUCAUCACCUCUGCAUAAGCAAUAAACAAAGAUUAUAAACUCAAUAAUUUAAAGGAAUCAAAAGUAUUUCAGCACUUAAUUAACCAUAAAAGAAGCGAAGAACCAACCUUGAGUAGUAAUUAAUCUGUAAACAUGACCCAAAACAAGUGUAUCCGUUGGCUUGAGAAGCUUAAUCCGCGUUACACGAACUGGCAUAUUACCAGUAUUUUUGCCUACACUGUUACUUCUGUUGGCGGUGGCGGUGGCGGUGGCGGUGGCGGCGGUGGAGGCAGGGUUAGUGGGCGGACACAAGGUGGUGGUGG
RNAcentral lists this long non-coding RNA (20366 nucleotides) under Nicotiana benthamiana. Its description in RNAcentral is "long non-coding RNA (NBEN_LNC040779)". Lineage: Eukaryota; Viridiplantae; Streptophyta; Magnoliopsida; Solanales; Solanaceae. The record is from RNAcentral.